AAAGUCGUAACAAGGUUUCCGUAGGUGAACCUGCGGAAGGAUCAUUAGUGAAUUAUGGGGCGUCUACUUUUGUAGGGCCUGACCUCCACUUUCUAACACUGUGCACUCAUUUGGCGGAAUAGAGAACGAAGCGCAAGCUGACGUCUCCGUUCUGCGGCUUACUUUUAAACACCAGUCAAAGUAUGUAACGAAAUAUCGAAACAAAAAAAAACUUUCAACAACGGAUCUCUUGGCUCUC
Molecule: unclassified non-coding RNA, 238 nt
Filed under: Basidiomycota sp.
Lineage: Eukaryota; Fungi; Basidiomycota
Description: partial contains small subunit ribosomal RNA, internal transcribed spacer 1, and 5.8S ribosomal RNA
Rfam family: Eukaryotic small subunit ribosomal RNA (bases 1-47)
Source: RNAcentral